CCUACGUGCGGCAGCAGUGAGGAAUAUUGGUCAAUGGCCGAGAGGCUGAACCAGCCAAGUCGCGUGAGGGAAGACGGCGCUACGGGUUGUAAACUUCUUUUGUCAAGGGACAAAAUCAGGCUCGAGAGCCUGACCGAGGGUACUUGAAGAAAAAGCAUCGGCUAACUCCGUGCCAGCAGCCGCGGUAAUACGGAGGAUGCGAGCGUUAUCCGGAUUUAUUGGGUUUAAAGGGUGCGUAGGCGGACUGUUAAGUCAGCGGUAAAAGCCCGGGGCUCAACCCCGGCGAGCCGUUGAAACUGGCUGUCUUGAGAUGUCGAGAGGUAUGCGGAAUGCGCAGUGUAGCGGUGAAAUGCUUAGAUAUUGCGCAGAACUCCGAUUGCGAAGGCAGCAUACCGGCGGCGAUCUGACGCUGAGGCACGAAAGCGUGGGUAUCGAACAGGAUUAGAUACCCGUGUAGUC
RNAcentral lists this ribosomal RNA (459 nucleotides) under uncultured bacterium. Its description in RNAcentral is "partial 16S ribosomal RNA". It matches the Rfam family "Bacterial small subunit ribosomal RNA", at positions 338 to 795 of the family's 1533-position model. The record is from RNAcentral.